GUGCUCACUUUGGCAGCACAUAUAUACUAAAAUUGGAACAAUACUGAGGAGAUUAACAUGGCCCCUGUGCAAGGAUGACAUGCAAAUUUGUUAAUUCUUCCAUAUUUUU
This is a small nuclear RNA of Arvicanthis niloticus (Nile rat), 109 nucleotides long. NCBI's taxonomy places the organism in Eukaryota, Metazoa, Chordata, Mammalia, Rodentia, Muridae. The record is from RefSeq and is a predicted model, not a curated record.